RNAcentral lists this ribosomal RNA (385 nucleotides) under uncultured bacterium. RNAcentral's name for it is "bacterial SSU rRNA". It matches the Rfam family "Bacterial small subunit ribosomal RNA", at positions 28 to 410 of the family's 1533-position model. The record is from RNAcentral.
GAUGAACGCUAGCGGCAGGCCUAAUACAUGCAAGCCGAACGGCAAGUCUUUUAGCAAUAGAAGACCUAGAGUGGCGUAAGGGUGCGUAACACGUAUGCAAUCUGCCCUCAACAGGAGGAUAGCUCCCCGAAAGGGGAAUUAAGCCUCCAUAGGAUCGUAAUGUGGCAUCACAUAGCGAUUAAACUACCAGGGGUUGAGGAUGAGCAUGCGCAUGAUUAGUUAGUUGGCGGGGUAACGGCUCACCAAGGCGAUGACGGGUAGCUGGUCUGAGAGGAUGAUCAGCCACACUGGGACUGGAACACGGCCCAGACUCCUACGGGAGGCAGCAGUGGAGAAUUUUGGACAAUGGGCGAAAGCCUGAUCCAGCCAUGCCGCGUGAGUGAAG